This 232-nucleotide long non-coding RNA is filed under the name Ananas comosus (pineapple). RNAcentral describes it as "long non-coding RNA (ACOM_LNC037988)". The record is from RNAcentral. Lineage: Eukaryota; Viridiplantae; Streptophyta; Magnoliopsida; Poales; Bromeliaceae.
GAAGUAUCAAAAAACAUAAUCUACUUGCUAUUACAAGCAUUCCCAUUACAUGCAUUUUACAUCACAAUUUUUACAUAUUACAUUUAACUUCCAAAUACAAUUAAGAUUACUACAACUUAAUACAAGUUUGUUCUAUGACUUGUGAAACCCCCAAGCUAAGCUGACUCAGGGUACUGCUGUCUCAGGUCUCUGGGGUAGGGCGCUAUCUACGAAGCUACGUCCUUUCCUCGCG